GACGAACGCUGGCGGCGUGCUUAACACAUGCAAGUCGAACGCUGAAGCUCAGCUUUUGUUGGGUGGAUGAGUGGCGAACGGGUGAGUAACACGUGAGUAACCUGCCCCCUUCUUUGGGAUAACGCCCGGAAACGGGUGCUAAUACUGGAUGUUCACUGGUCUUCGCAUGGGGGUUGGUGGAAAGGGUUUUUCUGGUGGGGGAUGGGCCCGGGGCCUAUCAGCUUGUUGGUGGGGUGAUGGCCUACCAAGGCUUUGACGGGUAGCCGGCCUGAGAGGGUGACCGGUAACAUUGGGACUGAGAUACGGCCCAGACUACUACGGGAGGCAGCAGUGGGGAGGAUUGCGCAAUGGGCGCAAGCCUGAUGCAGCGACGCCGCGUGAGGGAUGGAGGCCUUCGGGUUGUGAACCUCUUUCGCUAAAGGUCAAGCCGCAACAAUGGUUGUGGUGAGGGUAGUGGGUGAAGAAGCGCCGGCUAACUACGUG
RNAcentral lists this ribosomal RNA (483 nucleotides) under uncultured bacterium. RNAcentral's name for it is "partial 16S ribosomal RNA". It matches the Rfam family "Bacterial small subunit ribosomal RNA", at positions 28 to 507 of the family's 1533-position model. The record is from RNAcentral.